This 1437-nucleotide ribosomal RNA is filed under the name Streptomyces phaeochromogenes. RNAcentral's name for it is "bacterial SSU rRNA". It matches the Rfam family "Bacterial small subunit ribosomal RNA". Lineage: Bacteria; Bacillati; Actinomycetota; Actinomycetes; Kitasatosporales; Streptomycetaceae. The record is from RNAcentral.
CAUGCAAGUCGAACGAUGAAGCCCUUCGGGGUGGAUUAGUGGCGAACGGGUGAGUAACACGUGGGCAAUCUGCCCUUCACUCUGGGACAAGCCCUGGAAACGGGGUCUAAUACCGGAUAACACUCGCCGAGGCAUCUCGGUGGGUUGAAAGCUCCGGCGGUGAAGGAUGAGCCCGCGGCCUAUCAGCUUGUUGGUGAGGUAGAAGCUCACCAAGGCGACGACGGGUAGCCGGCCUGAGAGGGCGACCGGCCACACUGGGACUGAGACACGGCCCAGACUCCUACGGGAGGCAGCAGUGGGGAAUAUUGCACAAUGGGCGAAAGCCUGAUGCAGCGACGCCGCGUGAGGGAUGACGGCCUUCGGGUUGUAAACCUCUUUCAGCAGGGAAGAAGCGAAAGUGACGGUACCUGCAGAAGAAGCGCCGGCUAACUACGUGCCAGCAGCCGCGGUAAUACGUAGGGCGCAAGCGUUGUCCGGAAUUAUUGGGCGUAAAGAGCUCGUAGGCGGUCUGUCACGUCGGAUGUGAAAGCCCGGGGCUUAACCCCGGGUCUGCAUUCGAUACGGGCAGACUAGAGUGUGGUAGGGGAGAUCGGAAUUCCUGGUGUAGCGGUGAAAUGCGCAGAUAUCAGGAGGAACACCGGUGGCGAAGGCGGAUCUCUGGGCCAUUACUGACGCUGAGGAGCGAAAGCGUGGGGAGCGAACAGGAUUAGAUACCCUGGUAGUCCACGCCGUAAACGGUGGGAACUAGGUGUUGGCGACAUUCCACGUCGUCGGUGCCGCAGCUAACGCAUUAAGUUCCCCGCCUGGGGAGUACGGCCGCAAGGCUAAAACUCAAAGGAAUUGACGGGGGCCCGCACAAGCAGCGGAGCAUGUGGCUUAAUUCGACGCAACGCGAAGAACCUUACCAAGGCUUGACAUCGCCCGGAAAGCAUCAGAGAUGGUGCCCCCCUUGUGGUCGGGUGACAGGUGGUGCAUGGCUGUCGUCAGCUCGUGUCGUGAGAUGUUGGGUUAAGUCCCGCAACGAGCGCAACCCUUGUUCUGUGUUGCCAGCAUGCCCUUCGGGGUGAUGGGGACUCACAGGAGACUGCCGGGGUCAACUCGGAGGAAGGUGGGGACGACGUCAAGUCAUCAUGCCCCUUAUGUCUUGGGCUGCACACGUGCUACAAUGGCAGGUACAAUGAGCUGCGAUGUCGCAAGGCGGAGCGAAUCUCAAAAAGCCUGUCUCAGUUCGGAUUGGGGUCUGCAACUCGACCCCAUGAAGUCGGAGUUGCUAGUAAUCGCAGAUCAGCAUUGCUGCGGUGAAUACGUUCCCGGGCCUUGUACACACCGCCCGUCACGUCACGAAAGUCGGUAACACCCGAAGCCGGUGGCCCAACCCCCUUGUGGGGAGGGAGCUGUCGAAGGUGGGACUGGCGAUUGGGACGAAGUCGUAACAAG